RNAcentral lists this long non-coding RNA (273 nucleotides) under Homo sapiens (human). Its description in RNAcentral is "non-protein coding lnc-ANKRD50-2:3". The record is from RNAcentral. Lineage: Eukaryota; Metazoa; Chordata; Mammalia; Primates; Hominidae.
AGAUGGUGCCUAUGCUGUUGGUCUACAGGCUGUAUUUUAUAUAGCAGGGUUUGGUACAAUCUUUCUCAACCAGACCUGGAAGAGAAGUUGUAACAUGGCUGCUGCUCUGCAAGCUCACAUCCACUAUCCAGGCUGAAGCCAGAAGAAGUGGGAAGAGAAAAACCAAAGGACAGUGCCCUCUGUAAACCACUUUUAAAAAACGUUUCUCAGCAGGUUUCGUGGGUGGGAACAUUUUUUUGCCAGGUCAACGAACCCAAAUUUCUACAUUCAAAG